Centruroides sculpturatus (bark scorpion) is the source of this 514-nucleotide long non-coding RNA. RefSeq lists it as uncharacterized. The transcript has 2 exons. NCBI's taxonomy places the organism in Eukaryota, Metazoa, Arthropoda, Arachnida, Scorpiones, Buthidae. The record is from RefSeq and is a predicted model, not a curated record.
ACCCUUGAUACCCGGAAGAUUUUAAAUCAAGAUAAGAUUUAAAAGAAUUCGGAAGGGGAAUUUCCGUUAAAUCUUGCAAGAGGACGAGACGUUCAAUAUAUAAAGCAUUCUGUCUAUAACAUUAAUUUGUAAUCAUCAGUAAAAUUACAAGUAAAACAAGAUGAAGUCUCUUCCCGUAUUCAUUUUAAUUGCUUUCAUUAUCAUGAGUGCUAAUCUAAUUAUUAGCAACGAUGCUUCGUUUGCACCCCGUCGUUGUAGAAGCCAUCGCGAAUGUAGAAGAUUUUGUAGCGGUUUUGGAGGAAGAUGUACUAGAGCUAGACAAUGUAUUUGUUCUUACGGUCGUUGAUUUUUUCAUGGAAUUCCUUACCUUUAUGAUAAAAUUUGUAUCUUAAUCAAUCCUUUAUAAUAGUCAAAACACAUGUAUUUUAAGAAAUUGAUUGUGGCGCGCUUCUAAAUAUUACUAUGUGCUUCUGUACUAAACUUUCAUCUUAAUAAAUUUAUUGCAAGUUAAAAU